GAUGAACGCUGGCGGCGUGCCUAAUACAUGCAAGUCGAGCGAACAGACGAGGCGCUUGCUCCUCUGACGUUAGCGGCGGACGGGUGAGUAACACGUGGAUAACCUACCUAUAAGACUGGGAUAACUUCGGGAAACCGGAGCUAAUACCGGAUAACAUGUUGAACCGCAUGGUUCAACAGUGAAAGACGGUCUUGCUGUCACUUAUAGAUGGAUCCGCGCCGCAUUAGCUAGUUGGUAAGGUAACGGCCUACCAAGGCAACUAUGCGUAGCCGACCUGAGAGGGUGAUCGGCCACACUGGAACUGAGCCGCGGUCCUGACUCCUACGGGAGGCAGCAGUAGGGAAUCUUCCGCAAUGGGCGAAAGCCUGACGGAGCAGCGCCACGUGAGUGAAGACGGUCUUCGGAUCGUAAAACUCUGUUAUUAGUGAAGAACAAAUUUGUAAGUAACUAUGCACGUCUUGACGGUACCUAAUCAGAAAGCCCCGGCUAACUACGUG
RNAcentral lists this ribosomal RNA (497 nucleotides) under uncultured bacterium. Its description in RNAcentral is "partial 16S ribosomal RNA". It matches the Rfam family "Bacterial small subunit ribosomal RNA", at positions 28 to 507 of the family's 1533-position model. The record is from RNAcentral.